Molecule: long non-coding RNA, 538 nt
Filed under: Macaca nemestrina (pig-tailed macaque)
Lineage: Eukaryota; Metazoa; Chordata; Mammalia; Primates; Cercopithecidae
Description: lncRNA (ENSMNEG00000045865.1)
Source: RNAcentral
AGUUACCCUCUUCGUGGUUCAAAUGGAGCAGUUAAACUCAGGGCCCAAGUUGGAAAAUCUGACAUAAGGAAUAUAUGCUUCCAAACCUCGUGACACCUGGUAGUUAUGUUCCAGAUUCUGGCUCCUGGGUCCAUGGGAGCUAUUUCUCUUCCUGGAGAUUCUCUACUUGGACACCCCCUUCAGCCUAAAGAUCCCGGAAACAUCAUGAGGAGCUCUCGUAGGAACUGUUGGAUAGAAGCAACUCUGUUGCCACACUGAAGACCAGAUUCUGGAGAUCCAGCAUGGGAAUCCAAGCCUGAGACGUGCUGCAGAAGAUAAGUACAGACUCCUCAAAGGUGUAACAAAGGCCGAGGACUUGGAAGUCAAGAGACCUGUGUGCAAAUCUGCCUUUCAUUAUAACUGUUUGAUCCCACUUAAAUCACUUAACUGCUUUGAACUUCAAUUCCUCUUUCUGUAAAACAGGAAUACAAUUACAGUACCUACUUCACAGUUGUAAUUAAUGAACAAACAAAUGCGCAAAGGAUCCAAUAUACAGUAG